RNAcentral lists this long non-coding RNA (439 nucleotides) under Fukomys damarensis (Damara mole-rat). RNAcentral describes it as "lncRNA (ENSFDAG00000024598.1)". The record is from RNAcentral. Lineage: Eukaryota; Metazoa; Chordata; Mammalia; Rodentia; Bathyergidae.
GAAACAUGAGGACAGAGAAGAUGUGGUCUUACAGGACAAAGAGGCCAUGGAUACAAGACUCUGCCUCAAAAGAGUUGAGCCCUAAAAUCUCAAGGCAAAUUCAAGUUCAAUUUGUUCAACAACUGCCUCGUCACUGGCUCAUAGUCCACCAAAUCUGCUCUUCUCAAGAACUGGAUCACAAUGCUGACUCCUCUGGGAAGCCUUCUUUGAACUUCAGACAGAGUCUAAUAAAAUGUGUUUUUAUAGUUCUGACGCCGUUAGCCCUGGUGGUACAGUCUUGGUAAGUAUAUGUAAAUUGUUCUUGCACAUGAAAUUUGGAGUUAAGGAAAAAAGAUAAAACCCAUAGAGUUUUUCACAGUCUAUUUUACACAAUUGUGAGUUUAAACAGAAUAAUUGUAUAUUCUCUGAUGGUUUAGUGUUGCCUUUUAAGGAAAGAAAG